UAGGGAAUCUUCGGCAAUGGGGGGAACCCUGACCGAGCAACGCCGCGUGAGUGAAGAAGGUUUUCGGAUCGUAAAGCUCUGUUGUUAAGGAAGAACGAGUGUGAGAAUGGAAAGUUCAUGCUGUGACGGUACUUAACCAGAAAGGGACGGCUAACUACGUGCCAGCAGCCGCGGUAAUACGUAGGUCCCGAGCGUUGUCCGGAUUUAUUGGGCGUAAAGCGAGCGCAGGCGGUUAGAAAAGUCUGAAGUGAAAGGCAGUGGCUCAACCAUUGUAGGCUUUGGAAACUGUUUAACUUGAGUGCAGAAGGGGAGAGUGGAAUUCCAUGUGUAGCGGUGAAAUGCGUAAAUAUAUGGAGGAACACCGGUGGCGAAAGCGGCUCUCUGGUCUGUAACUGACGCGGAGGCUCGAAAGCGUGGGGAGCGAACAGG
This 429-nucleotide ribosomal RNA is filed under the name Bacteroidota bacterium. RNAcentral's name for it is "Bacteroidetes bacterium partial 16S ribosomal RNA". It matches the Rfam family "Bacterial small subunit ribosomal RNA", at positions 355 to 776 of the family's 1533-position model. Lineage: Bacteria; Pseudomonadati; Bacteroidota. The record is from RNAcentral.